UGAACAUUGCUAUCGAAAAAAAUACAAAAACAGUUUAGAAGACAUAGGCAGUAUUAAACAGUCUUUACUAACUCAAAUAUGUAGAGUGUAAUUUUUAAACGAAAAUUGUCCACGAAUAAAAAAAAAUUCAUGCUACACCAGCCGACAGUCGUGUAUGCGUUCAAAGUCGUGUUUGGAAAGGUUUCGACGGAAAUGUGUGUACCUAUAUAAGCCUAUAUGUGUAUGGAGAUUUUUUGAACAAAACAAAAUCCGAGAAAUAACGUCAUAUUAUUAUUUAUAUACUUUCCUGUAGUUUUGACGACUAGUUGUAAAAUGUUUGAAACUAGUAUUUUCCUCGGUCGAAAAUGUCAUUUAUACAAAAC
Molecule: non-coding RNA, 362 nt
Organism: Cinara cedri
Lineage: Eukaryota; Metazoa; Arthropoda; Insecta; Hemiptera; Aphididae
Source: the annotation of a GenBank genome assembly